UUACUUAGUGGAGGUCUAUAAUGGCUGUGAACUGCUGUUAGCCUGUACUGGAGAUCAUUAUAUGUUACUGAAAAUGUCAGGGAGAGAAAAUAUUGGUUCUUUGUCAUAACUCCAGCAGAGAGAUAUUUCAGGUGCUCUGGAGUUCUACACAGUGGUGAGAGCUUCCUAGGAAAUAACCCUGGUUUUAAGGCUGAAGCUCCAGAGGAAAUGCAGUGUUACUGAGUGUUUGAUGCUUCGAUAAAGUUCAGCGAGAUGAAUCCUACCCUUCCUGCUCCCUGCCAAGAGAAAGCAGACCCGCGCUGCUGCUUCUCUGCCAAGAAAUAGCAGACAUUAUGCUUGCCCAUAUGGAGCAGUGCUCCGAAUUCCUGUGCUUGGAAUACAAGUGGAAUUCCCUUCUUAUUAAAAAGCAAAACAAAGCAACCUCCUCAGAAAUAAGCGAAACAUUCUUAGGAAUGUGGAAUAGGUAAUCUUUUCUGGGUUGUAAGAACAAUUUCACAUUCUGUUAGAUCACUGUACAUUUCUCUGUCUUUCUGGGUAGUAAAAGCAUGCGAAGUAGUAACUCUAUACAAAUGAUCUCAAAAUAUAACACUGGUUAAAAAAAGUAAUAUAAGAAAUAGUAUAGGGUGGUGAUAUUUUGCAUGUCUGGUAACAGUUGAUAUUUGCAUAGUAACAGUGAUAAAUCCUUCUGUACUGGACCUACAUCUUCCCUGCACUGGAAAUUUCACUAUAUGAGGUGUGAGGUAAUGAAAAAUCAGGGCUAUAAUACCCCACUGAGUUUCUGAGUCAUCUUAUUGCACUGAA
This is a long non-coding RNA of Oxyura jamaicensis (ruddy duck), 801 nucleotides long. RefSeq lists it as uncharacterized. The transcript has 3 exons. Lineage: Eukaryota; Metazoa; Chordata; Aves; Anseriformes; Anatidae. The record is from RefSeq and is a predicted model, not a curated record.